RNAcentral lists this non-coding RNA (45 nucleotides) under Schistosoma mattheei. The record is from RNAcentral. Lineage: Eukaryota; Metazoa; Platyhelminthes; Trematoda; Strigeidida; Schistosomatidae.
AUCCAGCUGACGAGUCCCAAAUAGAAUGAAUUGCGCGUCAUGGAU